UCUUUGCUUGAGUUUCCUCUCUCAAAGCUUUGAUUAUGCUACCACCCUUUCCAAUUACACUACCAACUUUUUUGGAUUGACAAAGUAUACAAUAGGUAGUAUCUGAACUGUGAGAAUCUUCAGAUGACCAUUCACGACUCAACUUUGCAUUUUUACUGCCUCCCCUCCUCUUGAAUUGGGGGUUCGAGCGUUGCUUGAGAAAAUUUCUUUUGUAUUCGUCCAUGACUAGAUGGAUUCAAUUAUUCUCAACAAAAAGAACCUUCUUACUCCCUCGGGCAACUUCUCCUUGCUAUAGCACUUAUUCCAACAAGGCUAUGACCUGAAAAAGAAAAAUAUUUAGCAAGAGACAGAGAGGGCAGUGACACAAACAUCAACGAGUUAAAAAACUUAUAAGGUACAAUUGCAUCCAUUCUUCAAAAAGGGUAUAAAAGCCUCCAUAAUUAUUGAUAGGGUAUGCAAGGAGGAAGACAUUUCUGUUAAACAUGAGUGUGGCUUAAGUUUCAAACAUCACACUAACAGAAACAAAACUAACACAUAAUAUCAACAUUGCAGAGUGUCUCUAGCUCAGUUUAAUUUGGAGACCUGUCAGUGCAUUGUUCUCAUGAGUUUAUUGCUUUACCAGUCCCCAUCUAUUUUGACCUUUGCAGCAUAUAUAUUCUUAAUAAUAAUCAGAGACUAAUGCACUUCAGGUUAAGUCAAUGGUAUGAGGUUUGUAACCAGCAGAAACAUACCUUGUCAAAUAAGUAGGCUUGUCCCUUCUUUAAAAAGCNAUUAUUACAGUUUCACUCUUAUCCUCAUUUUGUACUCCCUGCAAGUCUUCCUCAACAAUCCUAUUGUGAACUUUUAACAGAGCAUCUUGUGCUGCACAAUGUGGCUCCAUUGAACCAUUUUCUUCUUUUUUCUCUGGAUUAUCACUGUUCUUGUCAUUAUCUUGUCUCCUAGCUAGUUUCGUAGAGGGACUAGAGAUUAUUACUAUUCUAUCAUCAGAACCAGGAACACUGUCAGCAACGGUUAUCUUUGCUUGAGUUUCCUCUCUCAAAGCUUUGAUUAUGCUACCACCCUUUCCAAUUACACUACCAACUUUUUUGGAUUGACAAAGUAUACAAUAGGUAGUAUCUGAACUGUGAGAAUCUUCAGAUGACCAUUCACGACUCAACUUUGCAUUUUUACUGCCUCCCCUCCUCUUGAAUUGGGGGUUCGAGCGUUGCUUGAGAAAAUUUCUUUUGUAUUCGUCCAUGACUAGAUGGAUU
Molecule: long non-coding RNA, 1250 nt
Filed under: Solanum pimpinellifolium
Lineage: Eukaryota; Viridiplantae; Streptophyta; Magnoliopsida; Solanales; Solanaceae
Description: long non-coding RNA (SPIM_LNC000065)
Source: RNAcentral